Molecule: ribosomal RNA, 521 nt
Filed under: uncultured bacterium
Lineage: Bacteria
Description: bacterial SSU rRNA
Rfam family: Bacterial small subunit ribosomal RNA
Source: RNAcentral
AGGACGAACGCUGGCGGCGUGCCUAAUACAUGCAAGUCGAACGGUCUUUUCUAUGGAAGCUUGCUUCCACUGAAAAGAUAGUGGCGAACGGGUGAGUAACACGUGGGUAACCUGCCCAUAAGAGGGGGAUAACAUCCGGAAACGGGUGCUAAUACCGCAUAGUUUUUCUUGAUCGCAUGAUCGGGAAAGGAAAGACGGCCUUUGUGCUGUCGCUUAUGGAUGGACCCGCGGCGUAUUAGUUAGUUGGUGAGGUAACGGCUCACCAAGACGAUGAUACGUAGCCGACCUGAGGGGGUGACCGGCCACAUUGGGACUGAGACACGGCCCAAACUCCUACGGGAGGCAGCAGUAGGGAAUCUUCCGCAAUGGACGAAAGUCUGACGGAGCAACGCCGCGUGAGUGAAAGAAGGUUUUCGGAUCGUAAAACUCUGUUGUCAGAGAAGAACAAGUUGGAGAGUAACUGCUCCAGCCUUGACGGUAUCUGACCAGAAAGCCACGGCUAACUACGUGCCAGCCGCCGC